This 797-nucleotide ribosomal RNA is filed under the name uncultured marine thaumarchaeote. RNAcentral describes it as "bacterial SSU rRNA". It matches the Rfam family "Archaeal small subunit ribosomal RNA", at positions 82 to 880 of the family's 1478-position model. Lineage: Archaea; Thermoproteati; Nitrososphaerota. The record is from RNAcentral.
ACGGCUGCUCAGUAACACGUAGUCAACUUACCCUAUGGACGAGGAUAAUCUCGGGAAACUGAGCAUAAUACUCGAUAGUUCAUAAUGCCUGGAAUGGUUUAUGGUUGAAAUGAUUCGUCGCCAUAGGAUGGGACUGCGGCCUAUCAGCUUGUUGGUGAGGUAAUGGCCCACCAAGGCGAUUACAGGUACGGGCUCUGAGAGGAGAAGCCCGGAGAUGGGUACUGAGACAAGGACCCAGGCCCUAUGGGGCGCAGCAGGCGAGAAAACUUUGCAAUGUGCGAAAGCACGACAAGGUUAAUCCGAGUGAUUUCUGCUAAAGAAAUCUUUUGCAAGUCAUAAAACCACUAGUGAAUAAGGGGUGGGCAAGUUCUGGUGUCAGCCGCCGCGGUAAAACCAGCACCUCAAGUGGUCAGGAGGAUUAUUGGGCCUAAAGCAUCCGUAGCCGGCUCUGUAAGUUUUCGGUUAAAUCCAUGUGCUCAACGCAUGGGCUGCCGAAAAUACUGCAUAGCUAGGGAGUGGGAGAGGUAGACGGUACUCGGUAGGAAGGGGUAAAAUCCUUUGAUCUAUCGAUGACCACCUGUGGCGAAGGCGGUCUACCAGAACACGUUCGACGGUGAGGGAUGAAAGCUGGGGGAGCAAACCGGAUUAGAUACCCGGGUAGUCCCAGCUGUAAACGAUGCAGACUCGAUGAUGCAUUGGCAUAUAGCCAGUGCAGUGUCGCAGGGAAGCCGUUAAGUCUGCCGCCUGGGAAGUACGUACGCAAGUAUGAAACUUAAAGGAAUUGGCGGGGGAGCAGA